AGCGUAGACGGCAAGGCAAGUCUGAUGUGAAAACCCAGGGCUUAACCCUGGGACUGCAUUGGAAACCGUCUGGCUCGAGUGCCGGAGAGGUAAGCGGAAUUCCUAGUGUAGCGGUGAAAUGCGUAGAUAUUAGGAAGAACACCAGUGGCGAAGGCGGCUUACUGGACGGUAACUGACGUUGAGGCUCGAAAGCGUGGGGAGGCAAAACA
RNAcentral lists this ribosomal RNA (209 nucleotides) under uncultured bacterium. RNAcentral's name for it is "partial 16S ribosomal RNA". It matches the Rfam family "Bacterial small subunit ribosomal RNA", at positions 568 to 776 of the family's 1533-position model. The record is from RNAcentral.